CCCGGCACAAGCGGCGGAGCAUGCGGAUUAAUUCGAUGCAACGCGAAGAACCUUACCUGGGUUUGACAUAUGCCGGAAAGCCGUAGAGAUACGGCCCCUUUUAGUCGGUAUACAGGUGGUGCAUGGCUGUCGUCAGCUCGUGUCGUGAGAUGUUGGGUUAAGCCCCGCAACGAGCGCAACCCUCGUCUUAUGUUGCCAGCACGUCAUGGUGGGGACUCAUAAGAGACUGCCGGGGUCAACUCGGAGGAAGGUGGGGAUGACGUCAAGUCAUCAUGCCCCUUAUGUCCAGGGCUUCACGCAUGCUACAAUGGCUGGUACAGAGAGUGGCGAGCCUGUGAGGGUGAGCGAAUCUCGGAAAGCCGGUCUCAGUUCGGAUUGGGGUCUGCAACUCGACCUCAUGAAGUCGGAGUCGCUAGUAAUCGCAGAUCAGCAACGCUGCGGUGAAUACGUUCCCGGGGCUU
Molecule: ribosomal RNA, 461 nt
Filed under: uncultured Nocardioides sp.
Lineage: Bacteria; Bacillati; Actinomycetota; Actinomycetes; Propionibacteriales; Nocardioidaceae
Description: bacterial SSU rRNA
Rfam family: Bacterial small subunit ribosomal RNA
Source: RNAcentral